Molecule: ribosomal RNA, 403 nt
Filed under: uncultured bacterium
Lineage: Bacteria
Description: partial 16S ribosomal RNA
Rfam family: Bacterial small subunit ribosomal RNA
Source: RNAcentral
AUUGAACGCUGGCGGCAGGCCUAACACAUGCAAGUCGAGCGAGCGGCGGACGGGUGAGUAAUGUAUGGGGACUGCCCGAUAGAAGGGGAUAACUACUGGGAACGGGGGCUAAUACCGCAUACUAUCGGAUAACCCAUAUGGGAUUAGCUAGUAGGUGAGGUAAUGGCUCACCUAGGCGACGAUCCCUAGCUGGUCUGAGAGGAUGAUCAGCCACACUGGAACUGAGACACGGCCCAGACUCCUACGGAGGCAGCAGUGGGGAAUAUUGCACAAUGGGCGAAAGCCUGAUGCAGCAAUGCCGCGUGGAUGAAGAAGGCCUUAGGGUUGUAAAGUACUUUCAGUCGGGAGGCGUUACCGAAAGAGAAAGCAACGGCUAACUCCGUGCCAGCAGCCGCGGUAAUUC